UCAUAAACAUGAAAAGAGAGCCAUGCAAGAACAUGACCCUCAAACGUAAGCCCAUUUAAGAUGGCAGCUAGUUUAAUAUGUUAUAAAAAU
RNAcentral lists this small RNA (90 nucleotides) under Listeria monocytogenes. RNAcentral's name for it is "RNA anti-toxin A". It matches the Rfam family "RNA anti-toxin A". RNAcentral also lists the same sequence under 1 other name. Lineage: Bacteria; Bacillati; Bacillota; Bacilli; Caryophanales; Listeriaceae. The record is from RNAcentral.